Molecule: long non-coding RNA, 806 nt
Filed under: Zea mays
Lineage: Eukaryota; Viridiplantae; Streptophyta; Magnoliopsida; Poales; Poaceae
Description: drought responsive lncRNA
Source: RNAcentral
ACAUUACCGAGUGUAGCAUAUUAUUUGUUUCUAUCUUAGUCAAUUAUUACUCAUGCUAUGGUAUAUUUUUCUUUUGCUUCUUGAAAAUAAUUUAACCUAUGUUAUUGAGUCAUGUUAUAACAUAUUAUUCUUUUGCUUCUUGGAAAUAAUGUAACCAUAGAUUGUGCUUCAAAAUUAUUGUCGUCUUGACCAUCACCAUAUGCACAACAGGAACAAGGUCUGCUACUCAGCUUGCAUCAAUGCUACAACACUAGCUCUUGUAUAUGCUAGGAUUCCAAUGCGAGACACUGUCACAUCUUGUAGUGUUGUCUAUUUGUGUUCUACUCCUUUGCUCCACAGGAACCUACCUAAUUUUCAUAACUUUAGCAGUAGUCUUAUGGUAAUAAAAGUCAAACAAUAAUAAUGUAUUGUGCUAGAUCUGAAUUACCUCGAAGACAGUGUUGGGGGUUCCGAUGUCACUGUUGACAUCAUAUCCAAAUUUGUAUCAUUUUGUAUGGUGUGAUAUAUCUAGAAGCUCUAAGAAUUUUUGUCUUGUGCAGGUCCUGCAAUUAAUGAAUGAUUUGAACCAAAGUGUUCGAAAUGUUGUUCUCUUGUAUUGAGGCUUACUGUGUGCUUGAGGUUCUUCGACCUCUCUAUGAAUCCCCUAAGAUACCGGCACAAAAGAUAACUGUUGCGAUAUGUGUCAUUGAUCAAUUUCGUUGUUACUAGGAGUUUAAGGUAAAAGACAUAUGGCAUAUGAUGACUUGUGGACAUGUUAUUAAUGGAAUGUACUGUUAUAUAUAUUGAGUAUCUGUUUGAAUUGUAAG